GGUCUCGUAGCUCAACUGGCAGAGCAAGCGACUCUUAAUCGUUAGGUUCAGGGUUCGAUUCCCUGCGAGACCA
This 73-nucleotide transfer RNA is filed under the name Chloroflexota bacterium. Its description in RNAcentral is "tRNA-Lys". It matches the Rfam family "tRNA". From Rfam's summary of the family: Transfer RNA (tRNA) molecules are approximately 80 nucleotides in length. Their secondary structure includes four short double-helical elements and three loops (D, anti-codon, and T loops). Lineage: Bacteria; Bacillati; Chloroflexota. The record is from RNAcentral.